Molecule: long non-coding RNA, 330 nt
Filed under: Mytilus galloprovincialis (Mediterranean mussel)
Lineage: Eukaryota; Metazoa; Mollusca; Bivalvia; Mytilida; Mytilidae
Source: RNAcentral
CCAGCUCCAGACCUCAAUUAAACUGAUUGAAAGAUUAUGUCUUCAUCAUAUGAAUAUCAGGUACAAUCCCUCCUAUUAGGGGUUUAGUAUCAUACUAUCAUAAAAUAUAUCAGAAGAACAUAACCCGUGUCAUGCCAACAACUGUUUUUUUAGAAAUAAAUGUGUUUAGUUUCGAUGCAAAGACCCUAUCAGUGAAUCAAUGUUAAAGCUAAAAUAUGCAAUCUUUAAUGACCUGACAACAGUAUCGUAACUAUAUCCCCUUUUAAUAAGUCUAUUUAAAGGUUUUGUUAGUUUCUGAGGAGAAUACUGACAUUUUUGUGCUUUAUAAAG